Molecule: long non-coding RNA, 5677 nt
Organism: Taeniopygia guttata (zebra finch)
Lineage: Eukaryota; Metazoa; Chordata; Aves; Passeriformes; Estrildidae
Source: Ensembl
CUGCCUAAUCCUAAAUAUUGGGUAGCUGGGCUGCAGUCACAAUGCCCUCGAGAAGCCCCAGUUCCCAUGAGAGCAGAGCACUGGUGUCUCUGUGUCUGUGGUAGGAGCACAAGGGAAGGGUGUGUGGGCAUCCCCAUCUGGGCAGGUCCUGCCCAAACCCUGGUGUUGUUGAAGGACACGUGAAAGCACAACAUGAGCCACUGCUGUUUGCAGGGUAAAGAAGAAGGUUUAUUCUCUGACUCCAACUUUUAUACUUUUCCAAAGGUGACAGUGGACUGGAGAGUGAAUGGGCCACCUCUCCAAAGACAUUGGACAAACUACUAGUAUAUUGAGUCUCUCUACCCUUAUGAAGGAAUGCAAAACAACAUGUUGUUUAUAGAAAUUGUGUGGGAAAGUUUUCUAACAGCAUGUAAACUCAGAAGGCUUUAGAAAAACUUAAGAAUCUGGGUAACACCCUGCCUCUGCCCUAUCACCACAGGACCCCAGACAGGGAAUAAUUAGCAUUGACUCCAUGAUUGCAGAAGGCUGAUCAAUUGCUUUCUCCUAUCAUCCUAUACUAUAUUGCUCUAUACUCAUUAAGAAACUCAGUAACCCUUGCAGCCAGUCCAACACAGCUUUGACCUAACUGGUCAAUCCAUCCAAACCCCAUCCAGUGUUCAGUUAAAAAAUCACCCUUUGGCAAACGAAUCUCCAUAACACAUUCCACAUGUGCACAACAGCCGGUGCAGCAAGUGGAGAUCAGAAUUUUCAUUCUUUUCUCUGAUCUUCUCACAGCCCUCCCCAGGACAAUACCUGGGAAAGUCUGUGCCUGCUCUGUGUGGCCAGAGAGCUGCUGCCACCCUGCCCUGCAGUGGUGUAGCCAGCCCUGGUGCUGGGAGAGAGGACAUCCAGGUCAUGAGCACCACCCAGAGUUAAAGCAAAGCCCCAGAUGGGCUUUCCCUCCCCUCCUCUGCAGCGUGCCUGACCUUCCCUCCUCUCCUGCCCUGCAGUUCCACCCAGGGAAGGCAGCUCCUUUCCCUGCCUCGGCUCCUGAGGUGCUAAUGAAAAGGCUGGACAGAGCCUGUACAAGGCAAUAUCCCAAAAAUAUCAUUUUGCUUCACUGACAGCUGCAAGGGGUGAGGAACAAAAAUAACAGCUCCCUAAUUUAAUGUGGACUUCGAAUAAAAGCACUUCCCCUUCCACUUAUCUACCUGUGGAGCUAUUUUUGUCCAGUUCACUGGGAGAAUUCUAUUAUAUUCUGUUAUGCCUAAAAUAUUUUGAUUCUUUAAUCACUGCACAGGGUUCCUACCUGCAGUAAGUGGACUGAGCAGACAAGAGAAAUUUAUUACAGCUACCAACCAGAGAUCAAAUUCGUCUCUCAUCAAUUAUUUGGGACACUAUUGUUUCCAGCAGUUUCUCCUCUUAAUCAAACUGAUCACAGCUGAAUAUUUGGCUGCUUCUGUAGAAAAUACCAAGACUUGUUAUUUCAUUAUACACGUAUUCUUCUUACCUGUACAUUCUGUGGAAGGAUUUUAUAUAUAAGUGAUGAGCAUUGUCUGGUUGACAAAGUGGGACUAAAGUACAAGCCAAAGAGCUGGAAGAUAAAUUCAUCCUUGCAGUGCUUCAGCUGAUUUUCUAUGCAAAAAUGAAUAAAAAGUGCUUUUCCUUUGCCCCUCCAUCAGAGGCAGAGCUGGCAGUUUGGUGUUUUGGGGAGAGGAAAAAUAAUAAUGCAGAAAAAAUCUGAGCAAAGCCAUCCCCUAAUCCAGCACUGAAAGGACAACACAACAUUUGUACAGGCCUGCAGGGAAGGGCUGACAGAGCACAGGAUGGCCCUGUCCCUAAGAAAGCUCUUCCAUACACUGGGAACAAAAUGCAGGCACCAGGUGAUACAGACUUAGAGACUACAUUGCUUUUUUCUCUCUUGUAGGGCACAGGAUAUGGUCUCUUCCAAAAAAAACCCAAAAUCCCUUUGUAAAUCCCACCCCACCUCUACAACAGCCUCAGGGAAUGGGAGAGCAGAGUCAGACACUGCAGAGACAAGGAGCAAGAGUGACACAAAACCAACGUGGGAAGGACUGGGAACCCAGCAGGAUCCUCUGUCAGCUCCAGAGAAGCAGCAAACCCCACCAGGAGCUCUGCAGGGACAUGACCCACACGGGCUGGGGAGGACCAAGCUCUAUGUAAACCCUCCCCUGGCCCAGGGAGCAUCUGGAGAGGGACUCUGCCAUGCCAGGGAGCAGCCAGGCUGUGCCCAGCACCUGCCAGCUGCUGGAAGGCGAGGAUGGAUCCCAGGAUUUAUCACUGGAAACACAGAUGAUGCUCUUGGAGGAGCCAUCCUGCCAGCUUCCCAGAAGUAGGAGGUCACAGUGGCACACAGGGGCUUGGGCAAGGUCUGCCUGGCACGCUGAGCUUGGCACUGGUGGCAGGAGCUGCUGGGACAGGCUGGUUUCCAUGUGCCUGUCCUUGAGCAUGGCACUGCCCCAGGAGGGAGCAGAGCGAGCAGUCAGGGCUCCUCCAGGCUAACAGCAGCUCAGCAUCUCAUAAAACAGACACUGGCAGCUUCAGGGACCCUCAGCACACAGGUCCAAAGCAAAACACUUCUUGUUCAUGAAUAAAGGACAAGGACUUUUGCUGGAGGACUAAAACCAUGCUCUCAUUGCCCAAAAUGAGACAGCGAAGAGAAGGAACUGAGAGCCCAGAGCAGCACUGGAGAACAAAGCAUGUUUCUGAGGAUUUUAAGCCUUAGAGUUCAUGAAAGUACCAUGAGAAAUCCCUGCAAGGGAUGGACACAGCAUAAGUGAAAUCUGGAGACAGGCCUGGCUUUAUCUCAAGGGCUUUCCUCAUCCAGCCUUUGAAGAUGAAUCCACUGAGUGUCAUUUGCUCUGAUCCAGAGCAGCUCCAAAACCACUGAAAUGAGUGCACUCUUGCCAUUCACCAUGAGGACUUUUGGAUUACCUCUUUUAUCUUGCACAAGUCAUUGCACCUUCCUUUUCACUCACUUUGUCGCUUUGGAAAGCAAGAAUAAAUAAAUUCCACUACUUGACUGAAUUACAUUUGAGAUCUCCCAGUUCACCUUUGAGGUCUCCCAGUGGGAAUUGCCAGGUUAUUACAGCCAGAGGAGUCUAAGACCAGCACAGGCAAAGCACAACAGAAGAGCUCAGCCUUGGAUGUCUAAUUAGAGCUCCAGGUUCUAAUGGGAACAUGGUGCUUACUCUAGAAUAUUAAGAAAUUGUCUUGAUUCUCCUAAAAAGAUAGAUGAAAAAUUAAAUGGCAUAAUUGCAAAGGUUAACAAACUUGAGGGAAUCAUUAGACAAAACUGUGAGAUCAACACUUAAAAAAAAAAACACAACAGAGUCAAAGAUAAUGGAAUUCAACUGUUUCAACUCAGUUUUUCUCAUUUUCCUCAGCUGAGAAAACAUUAUAAACCCAUGUCAAACACAAGUUUUAAAUGGUAAUUUCUACAGCAUUUCUCCUUGAGCAUUAGGUUUAAAUGAGGCUUUAUAAGGUAAAGGCUGGUGACUAUUUAACCUGCUGUAGUGGAAAAGUAUUUAAGGUAUUAAACAUGAUUUUAAAUUAUUGUUAUAACCCAUCAUUUUCUAAUCCCUUAACUCUUCAGGAGGAUUUAAAAUAAAUUAUAUAAGCCUUAGGAAACAAAUAAAUAUACCAUAUAGGAAACGAAAACCGAAGAUUACCUAGGAAGGAGACAGACACACUGCAAGUGUGGUUGAAGAGAGUUUUCCAAAGUAUCUCCAUGAAUUAAGAACCUAAUACUUAUUUAUGGAAACACUUAGGAGCUAUGAUAAAGGACAGAUUUUCUUCAGCAAAAUUUUUAACUAAAAAUACAUGACAGAAGUACUUACUUUAUGAUUUUUAUGACAACAAAAAUACACAGUGCCAAAAGGCUCCUGGAGCUCCUGAUUGCUUUCAUUUCAUUUCUCACCACAAAAGUGAAACAAGAGAACGAAGGGGAGAUUACACUGCCAGCUUUCUCAUUAUUAAUGGUGAAGGAAAUAGCUGCCUUAAUGCAUUUGAUUACAUCUUAAUAAUCACAGCCAGCCAGCUCCUUUUGGAACACGCCAGAUUCUGUAGCAGAAAAAUAUCUUUACGCCGACCACAAACCGUCGGGCCCCGACCACUGACAAGUUGUGACAACUGCACUGAGCCUGCUGGGGGAGUGUAAAUAUAACUGGCUUUGCAGCCACGUGAGUAUCAUCUGUACCAGGGGAGCAUUAUCACAGCCAGGGAAGGCAGGGCUGGGCGCUGCUGAGUGAAUCCUAAAGAGUUUAAUACUGGUAGCGAUGUGUGAGGAAAGAAUUCUGAACCUAAAGUGUGCCCAAAUGCUGAAAUGGGGUUAUUGAGUGUGCCAAGCUGUUAAGAAAACCUGAUCUUUAGCAGAGAAAUAAAAAUCAAUCACUGGAAUGUAACUGAAACUUCCCAAGCCUGAAAUAGUCUUUCUUGGAUUUGAGCUAAAGAAGUGCAGAAGGCUUUCAGGAUUUGCUUGACUUCUUUUUUCCUGUUUCACACCUCCCUGCAAGGUCUUGGUCCCUCUCUAAGAGCUGACCAGCCAAAGCUUGCAGAAACUGCAGUGUGGCUCACAAACUGCUCCAGCCUUGGCCUUUUGUCUGGUGCCCAACAGAAGCAGAAGUCAGAAAUGAGCUACCUUUGUGAGGAGCAAGUCAGCAGCACCCAGAAAGAGCAGGAAUGCAAAUGCAGCACUCAGCUAAAACACAGACCUGUCAGUGACAGCUGCCUCUGACCACAGCUUUGUGUUCUCCUUCGCUUGCUGUGAAGUGAAACUAUUAGAAGUUUGAUAAUUAGAUGUUCCUCUAAUAAAAAAAAAAAAUCCAUCUAAAUAAAGUUACAUACACCAGCCCAUAUAGUGGGACUCAGAUGUGCUGGUGAGAUCCAGCAAAGCAGAGAUGCACAAUCUUUUCCUACCCACCAGACUUUCCUGCUGCCUAAAACCCCAGGAGCACAGGCUCAGCUCCUUUCUUAUUCCCUCACAGGGGGCUGUCCAGAGCGGGAUCCUAGAGGGAUGGAAAUGAGAGAAGUGGGAAAAUGGAAAAAAAAAUAAUUAAACAAUUAGGAAGACUCACAGGAGGAACAGUAGUUCAGCACUGCCCUGAGACUGCUGUAAAAGGAUGCUGCAUAAGGGAAGGGAAUUAUCUAUCCUUCAUGUGCGUGGUAGGUUAGACAAGAAAUAAUGAGAUAAAAUUACAGCUAGGGAAAUUCAAUUCAGACAUCAGGAAAUACUUUCUAAGGUAAAGUCUGUUAUGUCCUGAAACAGAUAGCUUAGGGACACUGGGGAAUAGAUGGUGUUGGUGGUUUAAAGAGGCAGAUGGACUAAGUGAACUCCUCAGGUCUCUUCCAAUCCCAUUUUCUUUAAUUUAGGGUAAAUGAGCUCAAAUUUCUCCAUACAGUCUUGCACCUGUAUGACCUCUAAGUUUGCAGGCAUAGUGGAUGUGCUUAAUUCUGAAUUAACAGUGCCUAGGGAUCCUUUUUUAAGAAUAGCAUAUAAACCUUGUGAUUAUAAUGAUAGUAUUUUAUAAUAUACUUUUAUCACAAUUAUACACAGAGUAUAGAUCCAUUUAGUCCAAGAAUAUCAUUAGACAUCUGGCUACAUGGCCUUCACUCUGUCAAGAACAUCAGCCAUUUCAAAUAAUGGUUUUCAACUGCUCAAAAAAAAAAACAAACAAAA